GGGUGACUGGGACGCUGUUAGCGGUGGGGGCCGCGCUCCCCCUUGCCCUCGGAGCGGCAGCGCAUGCGCACAGGAAAUAGUGACUCGGGAGCCCCGGGCGAGAAGAUGAAGCGAGUAUUUACUCUAUUAGAAAAGGCUUUGCUUGGUUCCCCUGUGCAGUUCACCUGGCAGAAAACUUCAGGAAACUUCCUUGCUGUGACAGGAACUGAUCACACUGUAAAAAUCUUUGAUCGUCAUGGUCAGAAGAGAAAUGAAAUUAAUUUACCAAGCAACUGUGUUACUAUGGACUGGGAUAAAGAUGGGGACACCUUAGCCAUAAUUGCUGACAAAUCUAGUACCGUUUAUCUGUGGGAUGCCAACACAAACAAAACAAGCCAGGUGGACAGUGGCAUGAGAGACCCAAUGUCUUUCUUGCUUUGGUCCAAAGUUGGAGCCUUGCUUGCUGUUGGAACAACUAAGGGAAACUUGCUUAUUUAUAACCGACAGACUUCUCGCAAGAUUCCUGUCCUUGGUAAACACACCAAGCGGAUCACUUGUGGUUGCUGGAGUACUGAAAACCUGCUGGCACUAGGUAGUGAAGACAAAAUGAUAACUAUUAGCAAUCAGGAAGGAGAUACUAUAAGACAGACCUCAGUGAGAUCGGAUCCCAGUGAUAUGCAGUUCUCAGUGAUGAAGACUGAUGAAAGAAUAUCAGCUAGGGAAAGCACAGUAAGCGUGGUGGUUGGCAAGAAAACAUUGUUUCUUUUUAAUUUGAAUGAUCCUGAUAACCCAAUUGAUCUAGAAUUCCAGCAGCGCUAUGGCAACAUUGUAACCUAUAGAUGGUAUGGUGAUGGCUACAUCAUGAUUGGCUUCUCACGUGGGUGCUUUGUUGUUAUUUCUACACACAUUCGUGAGAUUGGUCAAGAGAUUUUUCAAGCUCGCAAUCAUAAGGAUAACCUAACCAGCAUUGCAAUAUCACAAUCACUAAACAAAGCUGCAUCAUGUGGAGACAACUGCAUUAAGAUUCAUGACCUGUCAGAACUGAAAGAAAUGUAUGCUAUAAUAAACCUGGAUGAUGAAAAUAAAGGUCUAGAUCACCUGGCUUGGACAGAUGAUGGACAGUUGUUGGCAGUGUCUACACAAAGAGGCUCACUUCACGUCUUCUUGACAAAGCUUCCAAUCCUUGGAGAUGCUUGCGGCACACGGAUUGCGUACCUCACUUCUCUUCUUGAAGUUACUGUGGCCAAUCAUGUUGAAGGAGAGCUACCAAUCACAGUUUCUGUUGAAGUGGAGCCAAACUUUGUUGCUGUAGGUCUUUAUCAUUUGGCUGUAGGAAUGAAUAAUCGUGCUUGGUUUUAUGUACUUGGAGAGAAUAGUGUAAAAAAGCUUAAAGACAUGGAGUAUCUGGGGACAGUAACCAGUAUAUGUCUUAAUUCUGACUAUGCUGCUGCACUCUUUGAGGGUAAAGUCCAGUUGCAUAUGAUAGAAGGUGAAGGUUUGGAUGCUCUGGAAGAACGAGAGACUCGACUUUUCCCAGCGGUGGAUGAUAAAUGUCGAAUCUUGUGCCAUGCUCUUACUGGUGAUUUCCUCAUCUAUGGUACAGAUACAGGUGUUAUUCACUAUUUCUACAUUGAAGACUGGCAAUACGUGAAUGAAUAUCGGCAUCCUGUCAGUGUGAGAAAAAUCUUUCCAGACCCCAAUGGAACCAGAUUGGUUUUCAUUGAUGACAAAAGUGAUGGCUUUGUGUAUUACCCAGUAAAUGAUGGUGUUCAUGAGAUCCCAAAUUUUCCACCAACCAUUAAAGGCAUUCUGUGGGAAAAUUGGCCAAUAGAUAAAGGUGUAUUUGCUGCUUACGAUGAUGAUAAAAUAUAUACUUAUGUCUUCCAUAAGGAUACCAUACAAGGGUCCAAGGUUAUUUUGGCAGGUGGCACAAAAGUUCCCUUUUCCCACAAACCAUUGCUUUUGUAUAAUGGAGAAUUAACCUGUCAGACUCAGAGUGGGAAAACAAACAAUAUCUAUCUUAGUACUCAUAGUUUCCUUGGCAUUUUGAAAGACACCGGGUUUAAUGAGCUGAAACAAAUACUUACUCAGACUUUAAUGCUGAAAAGGUUUUCUGAAGCAUGGGAGGUAUGCAAACUUCUGAAUGAUCAAUCUGGUUGGAAUGAGCUGGCCAGAGCUUGCCUACAUCACAUGGAAUUGGAGUUUGCAGUACGUGUUUAUCGGACAAUUGGAAAUGUUGGGAUGGUGAUGUCACUAGAGCAAAUAAAGGGAAUAGAAGACCACAACCUUUUAGCCGGACAUCUUGCCAUGUUUACUAAUGACUUUAAUCUGGCUCAGGAUUUAUAUCUGGCAUCCACCUGUCCUGUUGCUGCACUUGAGAUGAGAAGAGAUUUGCAGCACUGGGACAGCGCACUACAGCUGGCUAAGCGUUUGGCUCCAGACCAGAUCCCGUUCAUAUCAAAGGAGUAUGCUAUGCAGCUUGAAUUCACGGGUGAUUAUGUGAAUGCUUUGGCACACUAUGAGAAGGGAAUCACAAGGGACAAUAAGGAACAUGAUGAAGCUUGCCUAGCUGGAGUGGCUCAGAUGUCCAUUCGAAUGGGAGACAUUCGUCGGGGGGUUAACCAAGCCAUUAAACAUCCUAGCAGGCUGCUAAAGAGAGACUGUGGAGCCAUUCUGGAGAGUAUGAAGCAAUUUUCAGAAGCCGCCCAACUAUAUGAAAAGGGGCAAUAUCAUGACAAAGCAGCAUCAGUAUAUAUCCGCUGUAAAAACUGGGCAAAGGUUGGUGAGCUUCUCCCUUGUGUAUCAUCUCCAAAGAUACACCUGCAGUAUGCCAAGGCAAAAGAAGCAGAUGGCAGAUACAAGGAAGCGGUUGUGGCUUAUGAGAAUGCCAAACAAUGGGACAAUGUAAUCCGGCUAUAUUUGGAUCAUCUUAACAAUCCUGAAAAAGCUGUUAGUGUUGUCAGGGAAACACAGUCUCUCGAUGGAGCCAAGAUGGUAGCCAGAUUCUUUCUGCAGUUGGGUGACUAUGGUUCUGCCAUCCAGUUUCUGGUCAUGUCCAAGUGUAAUAAUGAAGCUUUCACACUGGCCCAACAGCACAAUAAGAUGGAGAUUUAUGCUGACAUCAUUGGUUCUGAGAAUACUACCAAUGAAGACUAUCAGAGUAUUGCACUAUACUUUGAAGGAGAAAAAAAACAUUUUCAGGCGGGCAAGUUCUUUUUGCUGUGCGGUCAGUAUGCCCGGGCACUAAAACACUUUCUGAAAAGUCCAAGCACAGAAGAUAACAUGGCUAUAGAAAUGGCUAUUGAAACAGUGGGGCAGGCAAAAGAUGAAGCACUAACUAAUCAGCUGAUAGACUACCUUAUGGGGGAGAGUGAUGGUAUGCCCAAGGAUGCCAAGUAUCUGUUCCGCUUGUACAUGGCACUAAAGCAAUACAGAGAAGCUGCCCGAACUGCCAUAAUAAUUGCCAGGGAGGAGCAGUCUGCAGGAAACUACCGAAAUGCACAUGAUGUUCUUUUCAGUAUGUAUUCAGAACUCAAAACACAGAAAAUUAAAAUUCCUUCUGAGAUGGCUACAAAUCUUAUGAUUCUACACAGCUAUAUUUUAGUAAAGACUCAUGUUAAACGUGGAGAUCACAUGAAGGGUGCACGCAUGCUUAUUCGUGUAGCCAACAACAUCAGCAAGUUCCCCUCACAUAUUGUCCCAAUCCUGACGUCAACAGUGAUUGAGUGUCAUAGAGCAGGAUUAAAAAACUCAGCUUUCAGUUUUGCUGCUAUGUUGAUGAGACCUGAGUACCGCAAUAAAAUAGAUCUUAAAUACAAAAAGAAGAUUGAAGCAAUGGUCAGACGACCAGACACAUCUGAGGCAGAAGAGCCAACUACACCAUGCCCAUACUGUGAAUUCCUGCUCCCAGAGUGUGAACUCCUCUGUCCUGGAUGUAAAAACAAUCUUCCAUAUUGCAUUGCAACUGGUCGGCAUAUGGUAAAUGAUGACUGGACAGCCUGUCCAAAUUGUGACUUCCCUGCCCUGCACUCAGAGUUUAAAAAUAUGUUGCAGAGUGAAAAUAUAUGUCCAAUGUGUUCAGAAAGAGUUAGCAUGGUCCAUCUUAAGAAGAUAGCUGACUGCACACCAUACCUCAACCCAGAAGAAAUGGAACAGUGAAUUUAUUCAAAAGCACCACUGUAAUUUAGCACCGCUGUCAACUCUGGGCCUAUUCCUGGUCUCACACACAGAAGAGAGUGCACUACAUCAGAUAUACUGUCUGUACAUAUGUCUGUUUUUCUUGGCUCAAAACAAUUGGCUCGCUCCAAAAUCCUGCAGUCCUGGAAAUGAGCUCAACAAUGAGAGAGAAUUGUAGAACCCAACAAGCCAUUUUCACAAGCAUUUUUCAACACUACAAAAAUUGAAGUUUCUAGUGCAUAUUUUACAGAUUAGAAAUCUAUUGUCAAAAUAUUUCUUAAUUGGGUCUUGCCUUAGGUAAUUUAUAUCUGGAGGACCUUGAUACGUUAAUGUUACACACACAAAAUGCUGU
RNA transcript from Caretta caretta (loggerhead turtle), 4507 nucleotides. It is a transcript of the gene named WD repeat domain 19, with no coding region annotated. Lineage: Eukaryota; Metazoa; Chordata; Testudines; Cheloniidae. The record is from RefSeq and is a predicted model, not a curated record.